This 253-nucleotide ribosomal RNA is filed under the name uncultured bacterium. RNAcentral describes it as "partial 16S ribosomal RNA". It matches the Rfam family "Bacterial small subunit ribosomal RNA", at positions 524 to 776 of the family's 1533-position model. The record is from RNAcentral.
UACGGGGGGGGCAAGCGUUGUUCGGAAUUACUGGGCGUAAAGGGCGCGUAGGCGGCCUUCUAAGUCAGACGUGAAAUCCCUCGGCUCAACCGAGGAACUGCGUCUGAUACUGGAAGGCUUGAAUCCGGGAGAGGGAUGUGGAAUUCCAGGUGUAGCGGUGAAAUGCGUAGAUAUCUGGAGGAACACCGGUGGCGAAGGCGGCAUCCUGGACCGGUAUUGACGCUGAGGCGCGAAAGCUAGGGGAGCGAACAGG